AUUGAACGCUGGCGGCAUGCCUUACACAUGCAAGUCGAACGGCAGCAUGUCUUGUAGCAAUACAAGAUGAUGGCGAGUGGCGAACGGGUGAGUAAUGCAUCGGAACGUGCCAUUUGGUGGGGGAUAGCCCGGCGAAAGCUGGAUUAAUACCGCAUACGCUCUACGGAGGAAAGUUGGUGAUCGCAAGACCUGACGCCAUUUGAUCGGCCGAUGUCAGAUUAGGUAGUUGGUGGGGUAAAGGCCUACCAAGCCUACGAUCUGUAGCUGGUCUGAGAGGACGAUCAGCCACACUGGGACUGAGACACGGCCCAGACUCCUACGGGAGGCAGCAGUGGGGAAUUUUGGACAAUGGGGGAAACCCUGAUCCAGCGAUGCCGCGUGAGUGAUGAAGGCCUUCGGGUUGUAAAACUCUUUCGGUGGGGAAGAAAUCUUUAUGGUGAAUAGCCAUGGAGGAUGACGGUACCCGGAGAAGAAGCACCGGCUAACUACGUGCCAGCCGCCGCGGUAA
RNAcentral lists this ribosomal RNA (508 nucleotides) under uncultured bacterium. RNAcentral describes it as "partial 16S ribosomal RNA". It matches the Rfam family "Bacterial small subunit ribosomal RNA", at positions 30 to 523 of the family's 1533-position model. The record is from RNAcentral.